AUCUACGUUUAUAUCUGUAUCAAGAAUCGAAAUCGCAUUUCCUGGUUUUACAUCUAGUAUGUUUAGCCAAUAAAUUCUAUU
RNAcentral lists this transfer RNA (81 nucleotides) under Cryptomonas paramaecium. RNAcentral's name for it is "Cryptomonas paramecium tRNA". The record is from RNAcentral. Lineage: Eukaryota; Cryptophyceae; Cryptomonadales; Cryptomonadaceae.